This 165-nucleotide ribosomal RNA is filed under the name uncultured bacterium. Its description in RNAcentral is "partial 16S ribosomal RNA". It matches the Rfam family "Bacterial small subunit ribosomal RNA", at positions 1335 to 1500 of the family's 1533-position model. The record is from RNAcentral.
CUAGUAAUGGCAGGUCAGCAUACUGCCGUGAAUACGUUCCCGGGCCUUGUACACACCGCCCGUCACACCAUGAGAGUUGGGAAUACCCGAAGCCUGUGAGCUAACUAUACAAGGCAGCAGUCGAAGGUAGAAUCAAUGAUUGGGGUGAAGUCGUAACAAGGUACC